Molecule: transfer RNA, 76 nt
Filed under: Acidobacteriota bacterium
Lineage: Bacteria; Pseudomonadati; Acidobacteriota
Also listed under: 2 other names
Description: tRNA-His
Rfam family: tRNA
About the family: Transfer RNA (tRNA) molecules are approximately 80 nucleotides in length.
Source: RNAcentral
GUGGGCGUAGCUCAGUUGGCAGAGCGCUGGGUUGUGGCCCCGGAGGUCGAGGGUUCGAGUCCCUUCGCCCACCCCA